GAGCAGCCCAGAGCCUGAAUCAGUGUGUGUGUUAGUGGAAGCGUCUGGAAAGGCGCGCGAUACAGGGUGACAGCCCCGUACACAAAAAUGCACAUGCUGUGAGCUCGAUGAGUAGGGCGGGACACGUGGUAUCCUGUCUGAAUAUGGGGGGACCAUCCUCCAAGGCUAAAUACUCCUGACUGACCGAUAGUGAACCAGUACCGUGAGGGAAAGGCGAAAAGAACCCCGGCGAGGGGAGUGAAAAAGAACCUGAAACCGUGUACGUACAAGCAGUGGGAGCACGCUUAGGCGUGUGACUGCGUACCUUUUGUAUAAUGGGUCAGCGACUUAUAUUCUGUAGCAAGGUUAACCGAAUAGGGGAGCCGAAGGGAAACCGAGUCUUAACUGGGCGUUAAGUUGCAGGGUAUAGACCCGAAACCCGGUGAUCUAGCCAUGGGCAGGUUGAAGGUUGGGUAACACUAACUGGAGGACCGAACCGACUAAUGUUGAAAAAUUAGCGGAUGACUUGUGGCUGGGGGUGAAAGGCCAAUCAAACCGGGAGAUAGCUGGUUCUCCCCGAAAGCUAUUUAGGUAGCGCCUCGUGAAUUCAUCUCCGGGGGUAGAGCACUGUUUCGGCAAGGGGGUCAUCCCGACUUACCAACCCGAUGCAAACUGCGAAUACCGGAGAAUGUUAUCACGGGAGACACACGGCGGGUGCUAACGUCCGUCGUGAAGAGGGAAACAACCCAGACCGCCAGCUAAGGUCCCAAAGUCAUGGUUAAGUGGGAAACGAUGUGGGAAGGCCCAGACAGCCAGGAUGUUGGCUUAGAAGCAGCCAUCAUUUAAAGAAAGCGUAAUAGCUCACUGGUCGAGUCGGCCUGCGCGGAAGAUGUAACGGGGCUAAACCAUGCACCGAAGCUGCGGCAGCGACGCUUAUGCGUUGUUGGGUAGGGGAGCGUUCUGUAAGCCUGUGAAGGUGUGCUGUGAGGCAUGCUGGAGGUAUCAGAAGUGCGAAUGCUGACAUAAGUAACGAUAAAGCGGGUGAAAAGCCCGCUCGCCGGAAGACCAAGGGUUCCUGUCCAACGUUAAUCGGGGCAGGGUGAGUCGACCCCUAAGGCGAGGCCGAAAGGCGUAGUCGAUGGGAAACAGGUUAAUAUUCCUGUACUUGGUGUUACUGCGAAGGGGGGACGGAGAAGGCUAUGUUGGCCGGGCGACGGUUGUCCCGGUUUAAGCGUGUAGGCUGGUUUUCCAGGCAAAUCCGGAAAAUCAAGGCUGAGGCGUGAUGACGAGGCACUACGGUGCUGAAGCAACAAAUGCCCUGCUUCCAGGAAAAGCCUCUAAGCAUCAGGUAACAUCAAAUCGUACCCCAAACCGACACAGGUGGUCAGGUAGAGAAUACCAAGGCGCUUGAGAGAACUCGGGUGAAGGAACUAGGCAAAAUGGUGCCGUAACUUCGGGAGAAGGCACGCUGAUAUGUAGGUGAAGUCCCUCGCGGAUGGAGCUGAAAUCAGUCGAAGAUACCAGCUGGCUGCAACUGUUUAUUAAAAACACAGCACUGUGCAAACACGAAAGUGGACGUAUACGGUGUGACGCCUGCCCGGUGCCGGAAGGUUAAUUGAUGGGGUCAGCGCAAGCGAAGCUCUUGAUCGAAGCCCCGGUAAACGGCGGCCGUAACUAUAACGGUCCUAAGGUAGCGAAAUUCCUUGUCGGGUAAGUUCCGACCUGCACGAAUGGCGUAAUGAUGGCCAGGCUGUCUCCACCCGAGACUCAGUGAAAUUGAACUCGCUGUGAAGAUGCAGUGUACCCGCGGCAAGACGGAAAGACCCCGUGAACCUUUACUAUAGCUUGACACUGAACAUUGAGCCUUGAUGUGUAGGAUAGGUGGGAGGCUUAGAAGUGUGGACGCCAGUCUGCAUGGAGCCGACCUUGAAAUACCACCCUUUAAUGUUUGAUGUUCUAACGUUGACCCGUAAUCCGGGUUGCGGACAGUGUCUGGUGGGUAGUUUGACUGGGGCGGUCUCCUCCUAAAGAGUAACGGAGGAGCACGAAGGUUGGCUAAUCCUGGUCGGACAUCAGGAGGUUAGUGCAAUGGCAUAAGCCAGCUUGACUGCGAGCGUGACGGCGCGAGCAGGUGCGAAAGCAGGUCAUAGUGAUCCGGUGGUUCUGAAUGGAAGGGCCAUCGCUCAACGGAUAAAAGGUACUCCGGGGAUAACAGGCUGAUACCGCCCAAGAGUUCAUAUCGACGGCGGUGUUUGGCACCUCGAUGUCGGCUCAUCACAUCCUGGGGCUGAAGUAGGUCCCAAGGGUAUGGCUGUUCGCCAUUUAAAGUGGUACGCGAGCUGGGUUUAGAACGUCGUGAGACAGUUCGGUCCCUAUCUGCCGUGGGCGCUGGAGAACUGAGGGGGGCUGCUCCUAGUACGAGAGGACCGGAGUGGACGCAUCACUGGUGUU
RNAcentral lists this ribosomal RNA (2430 nucleotides) under Escherichia coli. RNAcentral's name for it is "partial 23S ribosomal RNA". It matches the Rfam family "Bacterial large subunit ribosomal RNA", at positions 295 to 2716 of the family's 2925-position model. The record is from RNAcentral. Lineage: Bacteria; Pseudomonadati; Pseudomonadota; Gammaproteobacteria; Enterobacterales; Enterobacteriaceae.